AUCCAGCCGACGAGUCUUAAAUAGGACAAAGUGCGCGUCCUGGAU
RNAcentral lists this non-coding RNA (45 nucleotides) under Schistosoma margrebowiei. The record is from RNAcentral. Lineage: Eukaryota; Metazoa; Platyhelminthes; Trematoda; Strigeidida; Schistosomatidae.